RNAcentral lists this ribosomal RNA (524 nucleotides) under uncultured Nitrospira sp. RNAcentral's name for it is "bacterial SSU rRNA". It matches the Rfam family "Bacterial small subunit ribosomal RNA", at positions 9 to 524 of the family's 1533-position model. Lineage: Bacteria; Pseudomonadati; Nitrospirota; Nitrospiria; Nitrospirales; Nitrospiraceae. The record is from RNAcentral.
GAGUUUGAUCGUGGCUCAGAACGAACGCUGGCGGCGCGCCUAAUACAUGCAAGUCGAGCGAGAAGGCGUAGCAAUACGCUUGUAAAGCGGCGAACGGGUGAGGAAUACAUGGGUAACCUACCCUCGAGUGGGGAAUAACUAGCCGAAAGGUUAGCUAAUACCGCAUACGAUUCCCGGACUGCGGUUCGGGAAAGAAAGCGAUACCGUGGGUAUCGCGCUCCUGGAUGGGCUCAUGUCCUAUCAGCUUGUUGGUGAGGUAACGGCUCACCAAGGCUUCGACGGGUAGCUGGUCUGAGAGGACGAUCAGCCACACUGGCACUGCGACACGGGCCAGACUCCUACGGGAGGCAGCAGUAAGGAAUAUUGCGCAAUGGGCGAAAGCCUGACGCAGCGACGCCGCGUGGGGGAUGAAGGUCUUCGGAUUGUAAACCCCUUUCGGGAGGGAAGAUGGAAUGGGAAACCAUUCGGACGGUACCUCCAGAAGCAGCCACGGCUAACUUCGUGCCAGCAGCCGCCGCGGUAAC